GACGAACGCUGGCGGCGUGCCUAAUACAUGCAAGUAGAACGCACAGUUUAUACCGUAGCUUGCUACACCAUAAACUGUGAGUUGCGAACGGGUGAGUAACGCGUAGGUAACCUGCCUGGUAGCGGGGGAUAACUAUUGGAAACGAUAGCUAAUACCGCAUAAUAUUAAUUAUUGCAUGAUAAUUGAUUGAAAGAUGCAAUUGCAUCACUACCAGAUGGGCCUGCGUUGUAUUAGCUAGUAGGUGAGGUAACGGCUCACCUAGGCGACGAUACAUAGCCGACCUGAGAGGGUGAUCGGCCACACUGGGACUGAGACACGGCCCAGACUCCUACGGGAGGCAGCAGUAGGGAAUCUUCGGCAAUGGACGAAAGUCUGACCGAGCAACGCCGCGUGAGUGAAGAAGGUUUUCGGAUCGUAAAGCUCUGUUGUAAGAGAAGAACGGGUGUGAGAGUGGAAAGUUCACACUGGGACGGUAUCUUACCAGAAAAGGACGGCUAACUACGU
Molecule: ribosomal RNA, 504 nt
Filed under: uncultured bacterium
Lineage: Bacteria
Description: partial 16S ribosomal RNA
Rfam family: Bacterial small subunit ribosomal RNA
Source: RNAcentral